Molecule: long non-coding RNA, 1417 nt
Filed under: Mytilus galloprovincialis (Mediterranean mussel)
Lineage: Eukaryota; Metazoa; Mollusca; Bivalvia; Mytilida; Mytilidae
Source: RNAcentral
AUAAUAAGAUUUAUUCCUAUGAAGAAUAAAUCCGGUUAUCGGAGGAAAGUGGGCUUACGUUUUGGGAGUUGUCCCGCUUUGAACACGUGGUGGAACUUGUUAUGUAUUAUGAGUCACGUUAAUUAUUUUAACCUUGAUAACUGUGACGUCAUCAUUCUUUCUUUACCACGUACGAUGCAGCAGAGGGAAGACGCAAAAAAUUGGGUUCCGUAUGAAUUAACUAAUGUUUGUUUCAAAAGUUAAUAAUAUUUCUUUGAUUUGGUAUAUGAAAUGGAUGUCUUUCAAAAAAUCUUAUUUUACUGAAAAGGUUCGGAAAGUUUGAAAGAUAGGAAAAGCACAUGGUUUUGAUCCAGUAUAAUUUACAAAUAGUGUUAAAGAUUUUAUAUCUUGUGUUGUUUCUUCUGUAAAGAGUUUCUAAAUAUUUCAUUGUAAAUUUUUAAUUGUUGGUUUAAUUCAGUGGAAAUCAUGAAUUAUAUUUCCAAAAAUAGAAAUUUUAACAGACCCGUAAUUUCAGAUAAAAACUGCGCACAUGGUUUUAAAGACACGUGUCGCAUGGACGUCUGCGAUUUUAAAACUAUCGUUAUAUGAAAUGUUUCAUCUGCUACACAGCAAGCAAUUUAAAGAGAAACCAAUAAUGAAUAAAUGUAUGAAGUUUAUAAAAUAUACAGAUCUAACAUUGUUGGGUUGAUGUUUAGACGAGUUGUAUAGAUAUUAUAACUUUUCAACGGUCGUUUCACUAAUAUUAUUGUAGUAAUUUUUCAGUUUUAAAAACCAAACAUCUUAUGGAAAUCGGGGAAAGCAGAUCGUAUAUGUCACAAAGGCCCUCUAAAAGUCCUUAUAAAUGCAGCCAAAGGCAAAGGGUACAGCAGAGGGGCGUACCGACACCGUUGGGAAACAGAUCUAGCAAUGUCGUUGGACAGCAUACUUCCACGCAAGUUUUAGCUACAUGUAUGAUGACUCCAGAACUUAGGAAUGAAGUUGUUCAGAUUGUCAAUGGCAAUGCCCUUAUUCACUCUCCAGCUACUGUUAGUGUUACAUCUCCUGACUCAGUCAAUGAAAGGCAACAAUCGAAUACAGGUAUAAACACAAAGUUCUAAUAUUUGCCAAUAACUAGUGCAAAUGAAUAAUCUAUGUUUAAAUGUUUCACAAAACUCGGAACAAAAUAAUUAAUGGUGAAUAUGUAGAUUUAGGUAUAUAUUGCUUUAAUACAAAUUCAGGCACAGAACAGUAGAUACAAAUGGACAGCUGAUUAUCCAAACUAAACUAAGUAAAAAGAUUACUGAUAUUAACACAUGGAUAGAUGCUUUCCUUAUUUACAUAAGUAUUUAUGUUGGUGUACAUUUAGAAGAUGCACCUAACUUAACCGAAUACAUACAUGUUAAAAUAUUUUGUGUAUCCGUGUUUCCAGUGCAAAAUU